GACGAACGCUGGCGGCGUGCCUAAUACAUGCAAGUCGAACGCAGUGGGGACGGGUGAGUAACACGUGGGUAACCUCCCAUCAGACUGGAUAACACUUGGAAACAGGUGCUAAACCGAUACUGAUUGAUCGACCCGCGUUGCAUUAGCUAGUUGGGGGGGUAACGGCUCACCAAGGCUACGAUGCAUAGCCGACCUGAGAGGGUGAUAGGCGACACUGGGACUGAGAAACGGCCCAGACUCCUACGGGAGGCAGCAGUAGGGAAUAUGCGGCAAUGGACGAAAGUCUGACCGAGCAACGCCGCGUGAGUGAAGAAGGUUUUCGGAUCGUAAAGCUCUGUUGUUAGAGAAGCGGUAUCUAACCAGAAAGCCACGGCUAACUACGUGCCAGCCGCCGCGGUAAUAC
Molecule: ribosomal RNA, 403 nt
Filed under: uncultured bacterium
Lineage: Bacteria
Description: partial 16S ribosomal RNA
Rfam family: Bacterial small subunit ribosomal RNA
Source: RNAcentral